RNAcentral lists this ribosomal RNA (253 nucleotides) under uncultured bacterium. RNAcentral describes it as "partial 16S ribosomal RNA". It matches the Rfam family "Bacterial small subunit ribosomal RNA", at positions 524 to 776 of the family's 1533-position model. The record is from RNAcentral.
UACGGAGGGUGCAAGCGUUAAUCGGAAUUACUGGGCGUAAAGCGCACGUAGGUGGUUUGUUAAGCUAGAUGUGAAAGCCCCGGGCUCAACCUGGGAAUUGCAUUUAGAACUGGCAAGCUAGAGUAGGGUAGAGGGGUGUGGAAUUCCAGGUGUAGCGGUGAAAUGCGUAGAUAUAGGAAGGAACACCAGUGGCGAAGGCGGCACUCUGGACCAAUACUGACACUGAGGUGCGAAAGCGUGGGGAGCAAACAGG